Molecule: ribosomal RNA, 253 nt
Filed under: uncultured bacterium
Lineage: Bacteria
Description: partial 16S ribosomal RNA
Rfam family: Bacterial small subunit ribosomal RNA
Source: RNAcentral
UACGAAGGGGGCUAGCGUUGCUCGGAAUCACUGGGCGUAAAGCGCACGUAGGCGGCUUUGUAAGUCAGAGGUGAAAUCCCGGGGCUCAACCCCGGAACUGCCUUUGAGACCGCAUCGCUUGAAUCCAGGAGAGGUGAGUGGAAUUCCGAGUGUAGAGGUGAAAUUCGUAGAGAUUGGAAAGAACACCGAUGGCGAAGGCACUUGACUGGGCUAAUACUAACACUCAGGGACGAAAGCGUGGGUAGCAAAUAGG